Molecule: non-coding RNA, 30 nt
Filed under: Mus musculus (house mouse)
Lineage: Eukaryota; Metazoa; Chordata; Mammalia; Rodentia; Muridae
Source: RNAcentral
CCAGCUAGCUUUGUGACUGUAGGUCCAGGA